This 2102-nucleotide long non-coding RNA is filed under the name Homo sapiens (human). RNAcentral's name for it is "HSALNT0252266". Lineage: Eukaryota; Metazoa; Chordata; Mammalia; Primates; Hominidae. The record is from RNAcentral.
UAAAUAGGCCUGUUUACAAACUCUCUGCAAUAUAAAAAUAAUUCAGAAGAUACUCCCCAAAGAGCAUUAGAAUUUUUUGUUUAAUUUUCCAUCUCCCCAGUUUGUCUCUAAAUUCUUUAAUUUUCCUGGAAAAAUCAACUCUCUUUGUGUCAAACAUAUUUUUAUGUUCUUUGUGUAAUUGAUCCUCUCCAUUAAUACACAAUAAUCCAGUUUUUACCACUAAUAUGGUUUGGCUGUGUCCCCACCCAAAUCUCAUCUUGAACUGUAGUUCCUCCAGUCCCAUGUCAUGGGAAGUACCCACUGGGAGAUAAUUGAAUAAUGGGGUGGUUACGCUCACGCUGUUCUUGUGAUAGUGAGUUCUCAUGAGAUCUGAUGUUUUUAUAAGAGGCUUUUCCCCCUUUGCUUGGCGCUUCUCCUUCCUGCUACCAUGUGAAGAAGGAUAUGUUUGUCUCCCCUUCCACUAUGAUUGUAAGUUUCCUGUGGCCUCCCCAGUCCUGCAGAACUGUGAGUCAAUUAAACCUCUUCCUUUUAUCAAUUACCCAGUCUCAGGCAGUUCUUUACAGCAUGUGAAAGUGGAUUAAUACACCUACUUAUUGUAUCCUUGGUCUUCUAUGAUCCUGAAUUAACAAUAACAUUGCCCUAAGCCUGCAACAAUAAGAUGUAUAUAGGCAGUCUUCACAGCUUCCCUUAAAUUCUGUUUUCCUUCAAGAAUACCUGGUAACUUCUUCUAGCAAUAUGGCAGUCAGGUACACAAUGACUGUCCUCACUGGAACAACUAAAAUGGUUUUUAAAAAAUUUUAAACCAAAUUUUAUAAAUGAUUAUAAGUGAGGAAUACACCAAGUCUAAAAAUAAAAUAAAAUCAAGACCUCUGGGAGGUUAAUAAGUUCCAAAGCUAGCUUUUCCUCUAAGGGUUUCCACCAGAUCUUAAGAUUUCACUUUGCAAGUACCUUGGGUGUAGGGGGCUGGAGAUAAAGCCCAGAUUCUGCCCAAGGAGGGAAUAUAAUAGGAGGCCCCCAUAUAUAGCUGGGACUUACACUGCAUAUGAGUGAGACAUAAGCCCCACUGCACAGAAAUUUAUAGCAAAAAAUUUGCUUUUCUCAGCCUUGCUGACAGGUGGAGAAGGAAAAAAAUAUAUCCCUUGAGAAUUUGCAACCAUAUGCCAGCCCUCAUGCAAGAUUUUAUCUUAACUAACCACUUGUGUGAUCUGGAAAACAUCAAGCAGACUUUAAAUUAAAAUCCUUUGUUUGUAGCAUCUCCAGAUGAUUCACAGAAGUAAGCGACCUUCCUAAAGAAAAAAAAACAUAAUUUAAUUCAGUUCUGCAAGAAUUCCCACAGCAACACCACUCAAUUUGAGCUCAAGUCUCUGCUGACACCAACAAAGUGAUGUCAUCAGGCGUGUUCAUCCUGCUGGAGUCCUGUUGGUGCUGGUUAUACCACUUGAACUGAGGAAAUGUAAGCCCACUUCUGGGAUUAUCUGGAAAAUCCUCCAGCACAGAACUGUGGCUGUUUCAUGACCAAGUGGAAGAGGCUACAGAUUCCCACAAAGAACUACAGGCAUGAGGAGCUUGCUCUUUAGACACUGAGGUGUCUUGAUUAUGAAGACCUUCUGAGGGUGGCUGGCAACUUUCUGACUUUUAAAUAUCUGUACCUCCUCAACACUGGCAGCUUUUCAAUUAUAUGAGGUUGUCAUGUUAGGUUUCAAAGCAUAUUUCUGUGGUUGUUACAGCCCAUGAGCCUGGGGCAGCGAUGGUCAAGACUCUGGUCGACACUUGGGAAAAGCCAUUGAGAUUUGGCCCUUUGAUCGCUUUACUGGUUUUGGACAAGUUUUGUUUUAGUGUCUUCCAAGAAUUGAUGGGAGGUGGGAGGAAAGGCAGGUGAAUGCUUUGAUGCCUAGGCUUCAGGUGUCUCCAUAGCACUUAACACCGGACGGCUGUGUGUGUGCACUCAGCACUUGGAGACGUAGGGUUUUGGGGGCUGACAGGUGCUUUCCUGUCUCUAUCUCAUCUGGAAACUUUUCAGGGACAUGAUUAAUAAGCCUAGGAUUAUUUCAUGCUAGCUUAUUGUAGGGAGAUCUGUAUAAUAUUGUAGUGAGGGUUUUUUU